RNAcentral lists this ribosomal RNA (468 nucleotides) under uncultured bacterium. Its description in RNAcentral is "partial 16S ribosomal RNA". It matches the Rfam family "Bacterial small subunit ribosomal RNA", at positions 28 to 507 of the family's 1533-position model. The record is from RNAcentral.
GACGAACGCUGGCGGCGUGCUUAACACAUGCAAGUCGAACGGAAAGGCCCUGCUUUUGUGGGGUGCUCGAGUGGCGAACGGGUGAGUAACACGUGAGUAACCUGCCCUUGACUUUGGGAUAACUUCAGGAAACUGGGGCUAAUACCGGAUAGGAGCUCCUGCUGCAUGGUGGGGGUUGGAAAGUUUCGGCGGUUGGGGAUGGACUCGCGGCUUAUCAGCUUGUUGGUGGGGUAGUGGCUUACCAAGGCUUUGCCGGGUAGCCGGCCUGAGAGGGUGACCGGCCCCGUUGGGACUGAGAUACGGCCCAGACUCCUCCGGUAGGCAGCAGUGGAGAAUAUUGCACUAUGGGCGGAAGCCUGAUGCAGCAACGCCGCGUGCGGGAUGACAGCCUUCGGUUUGUAAACCGCUUUCGCCUGUGACGAAGCGUGAGUGACGGUAAUGGGUAAAGAAGCACCGGCUAACUACGUG